GGAUUGCCCUAGUAACGGCGAGUGAAGCGGCAACAGCUCAAAUUUGAAAUCUGGCCCUUGGGUCCGAAUUGUAAUUUGUAGAGGAUGAUUUUGGUGCGGUAUCUUCCGAGUUCCUUGGAACAGGACGCCUUAGAGGGUGAGAGCCCCGUACGGUUGAAUGCCUAGCCUCUGUAAAUCUCCUUCGACGAGUCGAGUAGUUUGGGAAUGCUGCUCUAAAUGGGAGGUAAAUUUCUUCUAAAGCUAAAUACUGGCCAGAGACCGAUAGCGCACAAGUAGAGUGAUCGAAAGAUGAAAAGCACUUUGAAAAGAGGGUUAAAUAGCACGUGAAAUUGUUGAAAGGGAAGGAUUUAUGACCAGACUUUUUCUGGGCGGAUCAUCCGGUGUUCUCACCGGUGCACUUUGCCCAGUUUAGGCCAGCAUCGAUUUUCGGAUAGGGAUAAAAGCUUUAGGAAUGUGGCUCCCCCGGGAGUGUUAUAGCCUAUUGUAUAAUACCUUUCUGGGGAUCGAGGUACGCGCUUCUGCAAGGAUGCUGGCGUAAUGGUUAUCAAUCACCCGUCUUGAAACACGGACCAAGGAGUCGAACAUUUGUGCGAGUGUUUGGGUGUUAAACCCUCACGCGUAAUGAAAGUGAACGGAGGUGAGAGCCCUUACGGGUGCAUCAUCGACCGAUCCUGAAGUUUUCGGAUGGAUUUGAGUAAGAGCAUAACUGUUCGGACCCGAAAGAUGGUGAACUAUGCGUGGAUAGGGUGAAGCCAGAGGAAACUCUGGUGGAGGCUCGCAGCGGUUCUGACGUGCAAAUCGAUCGUCAAAUCUGCGCAUGGGGGCGAAAGACUAAUCG
Molecule: ribosomal RNA, 838 nt
Filed under: Seiridium marginatum
Lineage: Eukaryota; Fungi; Ascomycota; Sordariomycetes; Amphisphaeriales; Sporocadaceae
Description: LSU rRNA
Rfam family: Eukaryotic large subunit ribosomal RNA
Source: RNAcentral